This is a long non-coding RNA of Oncorhynchus tshawytscha (Chinook salmon), 731 nucleotides long. The record is from Ensembl. Lineage: Eukaryota; Metazoa; Chordata; Actinopteri; Salmoniformes; Salmonidae.
CUUCCCUCCUUCCUGUACUGUUACGACUCCAUGAGCUCUUCCCUCCUUCCUGUACUGUUACGACUCCAUGAGCUCUUCCUCCUUCCAGAAACGGCUGUAGACCAACGAGGAAGACCCACAUGGAACUGGACUUUUUGGGGGUGAAUCUCCCGUUGACUUCAAAGCUUGACUUGUUAUGCUAAAGUCCAAGAGAGAAAUUAGUCCGGGAAGACUCCCCCAGUCAGUCAGGUAGGAGGAGUCUAUCCAUUACAUCAGUCAGGUAGGAGGAGUCUAUCCAUUACAUCAGUCAAGUAGGAGGAGUCUAUCCAUUACAUCAGUGCAGGAAGACUCCCCCCAGUCAGUCAGGUAGGAGGAGUCUAUCCAUUACAUCAGUCAGGUAGGAGGAGUCUAUCCAUUAAAUCAGUCAGGUAGGAGGAGUCUAUCCAUUACAUCAGUCAUGUAGGAGGAGUCUAUCCAUUACAUCAGUCCAGGAAGACUCCCCCAGUCAGUCAGGUGGGAGGAGUCUAUCCAUUACAUCAGUCAUGUAGGAGGAGUCUAUCCAUUACAUCAGUCCAGGUAGACUCCCCCAGUCAGUCAGGUAGGAGGAGUCUAUCCAUUACAUCAGUCCAGGAAGACUCCCCCAGUCAGUCAGGUAGGAGGAGUCUAUCCAUUACAUCAGUCCAGGAAGACUCCCCCAGUCAGUCAGGUAGGAGGAGGAGUCUAUCCAUUACAUCAGUCAAGGAAGACUCCCC